Equus caballus (horse) is the source of this 2708-nucleotide long non-coding RNA. RefSeq lists it as uncharacterized. The record is from RefSeq and is a predicted model, not a curated record. NCBI's taxonomy places the organism in Eukaryota, Metazoa, Chordata, Mammalia, Perissodactyla, Equidae.
UAAAAGCAAAAAGAAGUCUCAUUAAGAAGAAAAGCAAGUCGUACAGUGCAAAUACAUUAAAGAGGCGUGAUUUUAAAAGUUUGAAAAUAUUUAAAACUAAAACUAUGGAAAAACCAGAUAUAAGGAAAUUAAAUGAAUAUACAUAAAUUUAAGUAUAUAGUAAAAAGGUGUUUAUCCGGCACCAUCAGGAUGCAUGUGUAUGUAGAGGAGUAUAGAUUAAACUGGCACCAGCUAAACUUGGGUAGGGCCUAUUUGAAAGGUAGAGGCAGUUACAAGAAGUGCUGAGGUUUUUAACAAAUGUAAUGACUUAAUACAAUACCCACGAUGUUUAUAUAAGAUAACCUCAAAACUGUCUUAGUAUUCUAGAAAAAAAUUGUCAAAGCUGCACUUUCCUUAUGAAAACCUAUGUGCCUUUUCUUCAGCAUGAGAGAGCAUUUUUUACAUGACCCUCUCUCCAACAAUUGUUGGAACAGCAGCCAUAUCAAAUAAAGAAUACAUAACUGAUUUAAAUCAAACACAAUAAGCCUGGUUUCUUUUGGUAUACUUAUUUCAAAAUAAAUAAGUAAAUCAACAAAAUUAAAAUUACUUAAACAAAAAGAAUGAAAGAGACAGAGAAAUCAGCCAUGUUAACAUCGCUCUACAUAUCUCUUAAUCCAUUUCUGUGGAAAAGAGGUAAAUUACAUUGUCCAAGAUAUCUUCUAUGACCCAUGACCUGCAUAUAUUUUCCUUAUGUCUUAUAUCAUCUAUGUAUCUUCAACACAAAAUCAUUCCUUUUUCUGACAGGUAUCUUUUCAUUUGGUACAAGCCUUAAGAAAGCUUAGGGAAGACGGUACAAAGAAAACGAGCAGGCUAUGAAAUUACGGAGUUAGGCAGGAGACUGCACUGAGUUAACUGAGUAUCCAGCAACUCUCUAGCAGUCUCAGAGUGUACUGUGUGACAGUAUUACUGUCAUGUCAACUGAAGCCUCCAUGUUAGUCACUUGUGACCUACUGAUCCACAACUACCAAAAUGCAGUAACUGGUGUUGGUUAAUAGUGACCAUCAGACAUGAAGAGAAGAUAUCAUCUUCAGUACGUUCUGUUCCUUUGCAGCAAAGGAGAAAAAUUUUACAAAGAUUUUUGUUUAAAAUAGCUAACAAUCAUAAGUGCUAAUAUUUAAAGGGCUAACUUUAGUUAUCUAGGACACUUUAUCCAGAACUUUUCCCACUACUAUUCACGAUUUAGGUUGUGUUGUAUUUUCAUUUUUAACCAAGACCUUUUAACAAUUCUGAAAUAUAGCUCCACAUAACUAGCGUGCACUCUAGUACUUUUUUCACACCUGUUAAAUUUUAUUUAUUUAUUUGGUUAAACCAAACCCCAACAUUACUAAAUGCUACAGUGAACUACAGUUAGACUAGACGGACAAGCCUCGCAGUCAUAUCUGGAGUAUCAGAUUAUCAGACAUUUAACUACUUAAAUACUUCAAGGUGUCCACAUGAUGUUAAUAUAGCAGUCAGCUCCCCCAGUUGGAACUUACUAGUUUUCACCUGUUGGGGAGGGACAAGUAGUGAGUUCUAACUGCAUAACUAAGGGUACGACUCUGUGCACCAGAGGAUGCUCUGGGGGAGCGUCAGGGGUCAGUGAGGGCCCUAGAGAGCUGCCCACAAUCCACACGCUCUCCCUGUCUUACCACAGGGGCAAAGUUUCUGUAAAGGGCCAGAGAGGAAAUAUUUUAGGCUUUGCAGGCCACACAGCUUCUGUGGCAACUACUCAACUCUGCUGUUAUAACGCGGGAAAACAGCCCUGGACAAUAUAUACAGGAAAGAGCAGGGCUGUGACCCUGCAAAACAUUAUUUACGAUCAAUGAAAUUAGAAUUUCAGACUUUCCCACCUAUCACGAAAGAUACUUCACAUUCACAUCUACAAAGGUAAAAACCACUCCUAGCCAGCCAGCCGUACAAAAGCAGGCCGCCGUGGCGCUGGCCGCAGUCUGCGGACCCCGCUCCAUCACGCACGGUCCAGGCGGACGAGGUCAACCCCGAGGACCAUCGGCCCCGGCCCGGGAUGAGGAAGUCACGCCGCGAGCCCAGCGCGCCCAGCGCUGUGCAUCCGGGUCCCGUAGGGGACCCACUGCCCGGAUAAGCGCCCAGCGGCGGGAAGCGCCGGGCGGAAUAGGUCGCAGGAGGCAGGAGAGGGACACGCCUCCGCUGCGGAGGCCAGCCCCUGGACAGCGGAGUGUGCGAGAUUAGGACCAGGGAAAAGGAAGAGCUGGGUCUCGGGCGGGCCCCGGAAGCCAGGAGGUUCCCCCAGAAGAGCCCCGGGGUCGCCGCCUCCUCAGGCCGGUCACUCACUCGGAUACGCCGGCACGGACGAAGGCCAUAGCAACAGCCCAACUAGAAGGACUAAGGACUUCAUAGGCAUCGUCCGUAGCACUCCGCCAUGCGACGGGAACGUCCUGGGGCCACCAGGCCAGGUCAAGUGACUUGCCCAAGAUCACACAGAAACUAACUCAGCAGAAACUUAAACUGUUCUUCUGACUCUGACAUCGUACUUUCCACAACUGCACAAUCAUCUUUCAUCAUCUGUUCUUGCUCAUUUUUCAAGUGUAAUUUAAGGUCUUAAAGAUUUGGGUCUAGAAGUUCAGCUGCAAAAGAAUUUAUUGUUUAAAAGGCAAAAUGUUUUUUAUGUGCAAAAAUUUAUUUUGCCCAAAAGUUACUGUGGUUCUCCCAAA